GCUUGCAGCCAGACUUGCCCGCAGUUGCUCACCCGAGCCUUCGGCCCGGGGCACUCUUCUGCGGGCAGGCCAGCAUCAGUUCAGGCGGCCGGACAAAGACCUCUGUCACGUAUCUUCCUUCGGGUUGACCUUAUAGGGGAGGUGUAAUGCGGCCAGCCUGGAUUGAGGUCCGCGCAUCAGCUAGGAUGCUGGCGUAAUGGCUGUAAGCGG
This 210-nucleotide ribosomal RNA is filed under the name Occultibambusa bambusae. Its description in RNAcentral is "partial large subunit ribosomal RNA". The record is from RNAcentral. Lineage: Eukaryota; Fungi; Ascomycota; Dothideomycetes; Pleosporales; Occultibambusaceae.